CCUACGGGCGGCAGCAGUGGGGAAUAUUACACAAUGGGGGAAACCCUGAUGCAGCGACGCCGCGUGAGUGAAGAAGUAUUUCGGUAUGUAAAGCUCUAUCAGCAGGGAAGAAAAUGACGGUGCCUGAUUAAAAAGCCACGGCUAACUACGUGCCAGCAGCCGCGGUAAUACGUAGGGGGAAAGCGUUAUCCGGAUUUACUGGGUGUAAAGGGAGCGUAGACGGCAGCACAAGUCUGGAGUGAAAUGGCGGGGCUUAACCCCGGAACUGCUUUGGAAACUUGGCAGCUAGAGUGCAGGAGAGGUAAGUAGAAGUCCUAGUGUAGCGGUGAAAUGCGUAGAUAUUAGGAGGAACACCAGUGGCGAAGGCGGCCUACUGGACUGUAACUGACGUUGAGGCUCGAAAGCGUGGGGAGCAAACAGGAUUAGAUACCCUAGUAGUC
This 440-nucleotide ribosomal RNA is filed under the name uncultured bacterium. RNAcentral describes it as "partial 16S ribosomal RNA". It matches the Rfam family "Bacterial small subunit ribosomal RNA", at positions 338 to 795 of the family's 1533-position model. The record is from RNAcentral.